Molecule: ribosomal RNA, 377 nt
Filed under: uncultured Caldilineae bacterium
Lineage: Bacteria; Bacillati; Chloroflexota; Caldilineae
Description: bacterial SSU rRNA
Rfam family: Bacterial small subunit ribosomal RNA
Source: RNAcentral
UAAAACGUAGGAGGCGAGCGUUAUCCGGAUUUACUGGGCGUAAAGCGCGUGUAGGCGGCUUUCUAAGUCGGACGUGAAAGCUCCCGGCUCAACUGGGAGAGGUCGUUCGAAACUAGAAGGCUUGAGGGUGGUAGAGGAGAGUGGAAUUCCCGGUGUAGUGGUGAAAUGCGUAGAUAUCGGGAGGAACACCAGUGGCGAAGGCGGCUCUCUGGGCCACUCCUGACGCUAAGACGCGAAAGCUAGGGGAGAAAACGGGAUUAGAAACCCCGGUAUUCCUAGCCGUAAACGAUGUCAACUAGGUGUAGGGGGUAUCCAACCCCCCUGUGCUGCAGCAAACGCGGUAAGUUGACCGCCUGGGGACUACGGCCGCAAGGCUA